This 522-nucleotide long non-coding RNA is filed under the name Felis catus (domestic cat). RNAcentral describes it as "lncRNA (ENSFCAG00000049286.1)". The record is from RNAcentral. Lineage: Eukaryota; Metazoa; Chordata; Mammalia; Carnivora; Felidae.
UGCACGGAGUUGGGUUCAUCACACUCCUCAGCUCAUGGCCCCUGAGAGGAUUGAAGGAAGGUUCUCAGUUUAAUAUUCUGAGGGCAGGAACCUUGCCUGAUCUGUGUCUCCUCUGAGCCCAGCACACAGGAAGCGCAACUAAGAAGGACCUUGAGGUUGGGUGUUGAAAAACUGAGAGAUGAGAGAGGCAGUGGCACAAAUUGUCCCCUUCUGGGUGGCAGGGGCGGAGACAAGGAUUGGCCACGGCUCGGUGAAGUGUCUGUCGUCUGGUGACCAGCUUUGGACAAACCUGGAGGAUACAGGGCAUGUUUUUCCUGAGAAAAAGAAAACAACAACAACAACAACAACAAAAACAACCAAACCCCCAAAACAAGGAAGUACUCCUCCCUGUGUCCUUCAAAGCGCUGUGGCAUCUUCAGAUCUGGGUACUUGAAAGCUAAAGCUGGUCAUAAUUUCCGAUGGACAUAAUGUGCAUUUGAAAUUCUUUUCCACAUCAAAUUAAAUCUGUCUUGGACUGAUUUC